RNAcentral lists this ribosomal RNA (328 nucleotides) under uncultured eukaryote. Its description in RNAcentral is "partial 18S ribosomal RNA". It matches the Rfam family "Eukaryotic small subunit ribosomal RNA", at positions 1470 to 1796 of the family's 1831-position model. The record is from RNAcentral.
CCCUUAGAUGUUCUGGGCCACACGCGCGCUACACUGACGAAUGCAACGAGCUUAUAACCUUGGCCGAAAGGUCUGGGUAAUCUCCAAAUUUCGUCGUGAUGGGGAUAGAUUAUUGCAAUUAUUAAUCUUCAACGAGGAAUGCCUAGUAAGCGCAAGUCAUCAGCUUGCAUUGAUUACGUCCCUGCCCUUUGUACACACCGCCCGUCGCACCUACCGAUUGAAUGGUCCGGUGAAUCUUUAGGACUGUGGCUGAGGCCUUGCCUUGUGCGGGUCUGGCCGUGGGAAUUUAGUUAAACCUUACCAUUUAGAGGAAGGUGAAGUCGUANCA